CGGCGGACGGGUGAGUAACGCGUGGGUAACCUGCCUCAUACAGGGGGAUAACAGUUGGAAACGGCUGCUAAUACCGCAUAAGCGCACAGUACCGCAUGGUACGGUGUGAAAAACUCCGGUGGUAUGAGAUGGACCCGCGUCUGAUUAGGUAGUUGGUGGGGUAACGGCCUACCAAGCGACGAUCAGUAGCCGACCUGAGAGGGUGACCGGCCACAUUGGGACUGAGACACGGCCCAA
This 237-nucleotide ribosomal RNA is filed under the name uncultured bacterium. RNAcentral describes it as "partial 16S ribosomal RNA". It matches the Rfam family "Bacterial small subunit ribosomal RNA", at positions 96 to 334 of the family's 1533-position model. The record is from RNAcentral.